AGAGUUUGAUCCUGGCUCAGGAUGAUUUCUAGCUACAGGCUUAACACAUGCAAGUCGAGGGGCAGCAUGAACUUAGCUUGCUAAGUUUGAUGGCGACCGGCGCACGGGUGAGUAACACGUAUCCAACCUGCCGAUGACUCGGGGAUAGCCUUUCGAAAGAAAGAUUAAUACCCGAUGGCAUAGUUCUUCCGCAUGGUAGAACUAUUAAAGAAUUUCGGUCAUCGAUGGGGAUGCGUUCCAUUAGGUUGUUGGCGGGGUAACGGCCCACCAAGCCUUCGAUGGAUAGGGGUUCUGAGAGGAAGGUCCCCCACAUUGGAACUGAGACACGGUCCAAACUCCUAUGGGAGGCAGCAGUGAGGAAUAUUGGUCAAUGGACGAGAGUCUGGACCAGCCAAGUAGCGUGAAGGAUGACUGCCCUAUGGGUUGUAAACUUCUUUUAUACGGGAAUAAAGUUAGCCACGUGUGGCUUUUUGUAUGUACCGUAUGAGUAAGGAUCGGCUAACUCCGUGCCAGCAGCCGCGGUAAUACGGAGGAUCCGAGCGUUAUCCGGAUUUAUUGGGUUUAAAGGGAGCGUAGGCGGGUUGUUAAGUCAGUUGUGAAAGUUUGCGGCUCAACCGUAAAAUUGCAGUUGAUACUGGCGACCUUGAGUGCAACAGAGGUAGGCGGAAUUCGUGGUGUAGCGGUGAAAUGCUUAGAUAUCACGAAGAACUCCGAUUGCGAAGGCAGCUUACUGGAUUGUAACUGACGCUGAUGCUCGAAAGUGUGGGUAUCAAACAGGAUUAGAUACCCUGGUAGUCCACACAGUAAACGAUGAAUACUCGCUGUCGGCGAUAUACAGUCAGCGGCCAAGCGAAAGCAUUAAGUAUUCCACCUGGGGAGUACGCCGGCAACGGUGAAACUCAAAGGAAUUGACGGGGGCCCGCACAAGCGGAGGAACAUGUGGUUUAAUUCGAUGAUACGCGAGGAACCUUACCCGGGCUUAAAUUGCAACUGACUGAACCGGAAACGGUUCUUUCUUCGGACAGUUGUGAAGGUGCUGCAUGGUUGUCGUCAGCUCGUGCCGUGAGGUGUCGGCUUAAGUGCCAUAACGAGCGCAACCCUUAUCGAUAGUUACUAGCAGGUCAUGCUGAGGACUCUAUUGAGACUGCCGUCGUAAGAUGUGAGGAAGGUGGGGAUGACGUCAAAUCAGCACGGCCCUUACGUCCGGGGCUACACACGUGUUACAAUGGGGGGUACAGAAGGCAGCUACACGGCGACGUGGUGCUAAUCCCGAAAGCCUCUCUCAGUUCGGAUUGGAGUCUGCAACCCGACUCCAUGAAGCUGGAUUCGCUAGUAAUCGCGCAUCAGCCACGGCGCGGUGAAUACGUUCCCGGGCCUUGCACACACCGCCCGUCA
RNAcentral lists this ribosomal RNA (1395 nucleotides) under uncultured bacterium. RNAcentral's name for it is "16S ribosomal RNA". It matches the Rfam family "Bacterial small subunit ribosomal RNA". The record is from RNAcentral.